This 253-nucleotide ribosomal RNA is filed under the name uncultured Lachnospiraceae bacterium. RNAcentral's name for it is "partial 16S ribosomal RNA". It matches the Rfam family "Bacterial small subunit ribosomal RNA", at positions 524 to 776 of the family's 1533-position model. Lineage: Bacteria; Bacillati; Bacillota; Clostridia; Lachnospirales; Lachnospiraceae. The record is from RNAcentral.
UACGUAGGGGGCAAGCGUUAUCCGGAUUCACUGGGUGUAAAGGGAGCGUAGACGGCCAGACAAGUCUGAAGUGAAAAUCCAGGGCUUAACGUUGGAAGUGCUUUGGAAACUGCCGGGCUGGAGUGCAGGAGGGGUAAGCGGAAUUCCUAGUGUAGCGGUGAAAUGCGUAGAUAUUAGGAGGAACACCGGCGGCGAAGGCGGCUUACUGGACCGUAACUGACGUUGAGGCUCGAAAGCGUGGGGAGCAAACAGG